Molecule: ribosomal RNA, 301 nt
Filed under: uncultured bacterium
Lineage: Bacteria
Description: partial 16S ribosomal RNA
Rfam family: Bacterial small subunit ribosomal RNA
Source: RNAcentral
CAGUCGCCGCGGUAAUACGUAGGUCCCGAGCGUUGUCCGGAUUUAUUGGGCGUAAAGCGAGCGCAGGCGGUUAGAUAAGUCUGAAGUUAAAGGCUGUGGCUCAACCAUAGUUCGCUUUGGAAACUGUCAAACUUGAGUGCAGAAGGGGAGAGUGGAAUUCCAUGUGUAGCGGUGAAAUGCGUAGAUAUAUGGAGGAACACCAGUGGCGAAGGCGACUCUCUGGUCUGUAACUGACGCUGAGGAGCGAAAGCGUGGGGAGCGAACAGGAUUAGAUACCCCCGUAGUCCCUGUCUCUUAUACA